GUUGAUCCUGCCAGAGGCCGCUGCUAUCCGGCUGGGACUAAGCCAUGCUAGUCUAGGGGCUUGUACUCCUUCGGGGGUGCAAGCACCGGCGGACGGCUCAGUAACACGUGGACAACCUGCCCUCGGGUGGGGGAUAACCCCGGGAAACUGGGGCUAAUCCCCCAUAGGUGAUGGGUGCUGGAAUGCCCCAUCUCCGAAAGCGCUUAGCGCCCGAGGAUGGGUCUGCGGCGGAUUAGGUAGUUGGUGGGGUAACGGCCCACCAAGCCUAAGAUCCGUACGGGCUGUGGGAGCAGGAGCCCGGAGAUGGACCCUGAGACAAGGGUCCAGGCCCUACGGGGCGCAGCAGGCGCGAAACCUCCGCAAUGCGGGAAACCGCGACGGGGUUAGCCGGAGUGCCCGUGCAUUGCACGGGCUGUCGGGGUGCCUAAACAGCACCCCAUAGCAAGGGCCGGGCAAGGCCGGUGGCAGCCGCCGCGGUAAGACCGGCGGCCCGAGUGGCGGCCACUCUUAUUGGGCCUAAAGCGUCCGUA
This 530-nucleotide ribosomal RNA is filed under the name uncultured archaeon. RNAcentral describes it as "bacterial SSU rRNA". It matches the Rfam family "Archaeal small subunit ribosomal RNA", at positions 7 to 523 of the family's 1478-position model. The record is from RNAcentral.